GCCUAGCCCGGAUAGCAGUGGAAAUCCUUUUCUAAAGCUUCCAGCCUUUUGAAGGCUGGAAGCUUUAGAAAAGAUUGUAAUGUAUAGCCGGAAGUAGC
RNAcentral lists this small RNA (98 nucleotides) under Flavobacterium xinjiangense. RNAcentral describes it as "Flavo-1 RNA". It matches the Rfam family "Flavo-1 RNA". Lineage: Bacteria; Pseudomonadati; Bacteroidota; Flavobacteriia; Flavobacteriales; Flavobacteriaceae. The record is from RNAcentral.